AGAGCGAACGCUGGCGGCAGGCUUAACACAUGCAAGUCGAGCGGGCGUAGCAAUACGUCAGCGGCAGACGGGUGAGUAACGCGUGGGAACGUACCUUUUGGUUCGGAACAACACAGGGAAACUUGUGCUAAUACCGGAUAAGCCCUUACGGGGAAAGAUUUAUCGCCGAAAGAUCGGCCCGCGUCUGAUUAGCUAGUUGGUGAGGUAACGGCUCACCAAGGCGACGAUCAGUAGCUGGUCUGAGAGGAUGAUCAGCCACAUUGGGACUGAGACACGGCCCAAACUCCUACGGGAGGCAGCAGUGGGAAUAUUGGACAAUGGGCGAAAGCCUGAUCCAGCCAUGCCGCGUGAGUGAUGAAGGCCCUAGGGUUGUAAAGCUCUUUGUGCGGGAAGAUAAUGACGGUACCGCAAGAAUAACGCCCCGGCUAACUUCGCGCCAGCAGCCGC
Molecule: ribosomal RNA, 447 nt
Filed under: uncultured bacterium
Lineage: Bacteria
Description: SSU rRNA
Rfam family: Bacterial small subunit ribosomal RNA
Source: RNAcentral